AGAGAUUGCGCUCAGGUGCGGCAGCUCGCGGCUCUCCAUUCUCCGGUCACAGACUAGAACUUUCCUCUGCUCUGAACUCAGCGCUUCUGGACUAGUGCAGUACAGAAGCUGUCAGAAAGAGUGGUUUCAGAUACUGCUGUUGACACACACACCCACUGUGAAAGAUCACACUCAUAGAGACCUGAAACAAAAAUACUAGAAUCACGAAAGUGGAAGAGACCAUAGAGACAUCAUCUUGCUUCAGAUGAAGAUAUUUCUCUUCUCCACCUGGACUCCACGAGAUGGUCGGAUGCAUGUGAUGUGGACAUAACACACUCUGAUCUAUGUGACUACAAGGAGACAUAAAGCACAGUUCAACCCUUCCAGGCCAUCUCUGACUCCCAUCAAUAUUGCAACUAUAACCAAACAUAAUCAAAUCAUUUGGAGUGUUCAGACUCAGAGGACUGUGAAAGGCUCUGUAGGGAGUAGAAGGGCUCUUUUGAUUUUCUCAGGUCAGCUGGGGAGCUGCCUCGUCUUAAUGCCUGUAACUUCAACUGAAAUGGCCCCAAAAGGAGAGAAGUGGGAUGUUAAGAGGCAGAUGACCUUUGAAUCUAUUUACACCUCUGGGCAAACACAGCAGUGAGGCUGUGAGGAGCUGGGAAGGCUGUUCUUUAAUAGGGAUCUUGUGUCACUUGCACCUGCUAAAAGACCAGAAGAGCCACGGGAAAGCUCUCACAAUGUUGGCCUCCCGUCUUCCAGGCCAGCUCUGCCCCCGAACAAACGAAAAAUUGUCUGCUUGGCCCUGUUUUGUUCCACUUUUCAAGAAUAAAAUCAUCUUAU
Long non-coding RNA from Vicugna pacos (alpaca), 819 nucleotides. RefSeq lists it as uncharacterized. NCBI's taxonomy places the organism in Eukaryota, Metazoa, Chordata, Mammalia, Artiodactyla, Camelidae. The record is from RefSeq and is a predicted model, not a curated record.